RNAcentral lists this ribosomal RNA (254 nucleotides) under Babesia caballi. RNAcentral's name for it is "partial small subunit ribosomal RNA". It matches the Rfam family "Eukaryotic small subunit ribosomal RNA", at positions 558 to 874 of the family's 1831-position model. The record is from RNAcentral. Lineage: Eukaryota; Apicomplexa; Aconoidasida; Piroplasmida; Babesiidae.
AGUCUGGUGCCAGCAGCCGCGGUAAUUCCAGCUCCGAUAGCGUAUAUUAAACUUGUUGCAGUUAAAAAGCUCGUAGUUGAAUUUCUGCGUUGCGUGAUUCUUGCUUUUUGCUUGACUUUCGCUUCGCUUUUUUUUUACUUUGAGAAAAUGAUAGUGUGUAUCGCAUACUUUUUGUCUUGAAUACUUCAGCAUGGAAUACUAGAGUAGACCUUGGUUAUAUUUUGUUGGUUUUUGAACCUUGGUAAUGGUUAAUA